GUUUGAUCAUGGCUCAGAGCGAACGCUGGCGGCAGGCUUAACACAUGCAAGUCGAGCGGGCGUAGCAAUACGUCAGCGGCAGACGGGUGAGUAACGCGUGGGAACAUACCUUUUGGUUCGGAACAACACAGGGAAACUUGUGCUAAUACCGGAUAAGCCCUUACGGGGAAAGAUUUAUCGCCGAAAGAUUGGCCCGCGUCUGAUUAGCUAGUUGGUGAGGUAACGGCUCACCAAGGCGACGAUCAGUAGCUGGUCUGAGAGGAUGAUCAGCCACAUUGGGACUGAGACACGGCCCAAACUCCUACGGGAGGCAGCAGUGGGGAAUAUCGGACAAUGGGCGAAAGCCUGAUCCAGCCAUGCCGCGUGAGUGAUGAAGGCCCUAGGGUUGUAAAGCUCUUUUGUGCGGGAAGAUAAUGACGGUACCGCAAGAAUAAGCCCCGGCUAACUUCGUGCCAGCAGCCGCGGUAAUACGAAGGGGGCUAGCGUUGCUCGGAAUCACUGGGCGUAAAGGGUGCGUAGGCGGGUUUUUAAGUCAGAGGUGAAAUCCUGGAGCUCAACUCCAGAACUGCCUUUGAUACUGAGAAUCUUGAGUACGGGAGAGGUGAGUGGAACUGCGAGUGUAGAGGUGAAAUUCGUAGAUAUUCGCAAGAACACCAGUGGCGAAGGCGGCUCACUGGCCCGUAACUGACGCUGAGGCACGAAAGCGUGGGGAGCAAACAGGAUUAGAUACCCUGGUAGUCCACGCCGUAAACGAUGAAUGCCAGCCGUUAGUGGGUUUACUCACUAGUGGCGCAGCUAACGCUUUAAGCAUUCCGCCUGGGGAGUACGGUCGCAAGAUUAAAACUUAAAGGAAUUGACGGAAG
Molecule: ribosomal RNA, 863 nt
Filed under: uncultured bacterium
Lineage: Bacteria
Description: bacterial SSU rRNA
Rfam family: Bacterial small subunit ribosomal RNA
Source: RNAcentral